RNAcentral lists this long non-coding RNA (691 nucleotides) under Monodelphis domestica (gray short-tailed opossum). RNAcentral describes it as "lncRNA (ENSMODG00000044202.1)". Lineage: Eukaryota; Metazoa; Chordata; Mammalia; Didelphimorphia; Didelphidae. The record is from RNAcentral.
UCAAUUUUCAAAAUUUCAACUUACUUCUGAUCUUAUAUAACUGCAACUGUUAGAGCACAAUACUCUCAGAGGAAUUGAAGCGACCAUGUCACUAAUGAACCGGAGAUGCACCAUUUCCUGUGUAAUGUCAUGAAAAAGCAUUUCUACAAAAAAAGAAGAGCAUUUGUUACAUUCAGUUGCUAGAUCCAAACCAUCAACCUCACUGCUAUGGAAAGUUCAAAGAGGGAUUCACAUUUUUAGCCAAAUAUGGAAAGCCUUUGGCAUUGGUGAAAAGAGAAAAUGCAACUUAACCGGUAAAGUGAACACAUGUUCACUUGGAAAUAAUGGAAAAUUUAGGAAUGACAUAUGGAAAGCCGAGUGGAAAUAAACACAGCCUAAAGUUAAAGUAACCAGGGCAAGGAAAAGGGACUCCUUUGGGAAGAACAGCUGAUUUAACAUUUUAAAACAAUGCACAGAGGAGAACUGAAGAAAGUCCUAAGAAAAAACAUAAACCAUAAGGACAGCUCUGGAACUGAAUCAUUGAAUUUGGUAUGCACUUUAAGAAAUACAUAAAAGUUGUAUAUAAUAGAUGCAGACUUUCAUACAUAUUUUUUCUCUUUUUUUAUACACAGAAACAUUAAAGUUUGCUAACAUCCUUUUCAAUCUCAGAGGGGAAAAAAAGAGUUAGUAUUAAAAUCCUGAAAAAAUAUUU